This 509-nucleotide long non-coding RNA is filed under the name Haliotis rubra (blacklip abalone). RNAcentral's name for it is "uncharacterized LOC124262147, transcript variant X2". Lineage: Eukaryota; Metazoa; Mollusca; Gastropoda; Lepetellida; Haliotidae. The record is from RNAcentral.
UGGUUUACACAUAUAACAGUGGGCGUUGUACAUGUUUACCUUGUGACGGUGGAUAACGAUAAGCGAUUUACCCGGCCAUCAGCACAGCAGGUGAAUUCAGUACUUGAAACAUGCUCGAAAGACGAUACCUGACAGUGUAAGAAGAUCCCAACGCAUGGAUGUGGAUUGAGCCCGAACAAACUUAACAACGAAGCAUGUCAUGAAUGCACUAACUUUAAUUACAGAUUAAGGUGCUCGGUAUCUCUGCGGAGUCUGUCAACAAACUCAGAGGUCGGUAACUGGGACAACAGGAUGCUGAGCACACUUUCGAGGGAUGUCGAAAUGUUGGUGCACAACAGGAAGGUUUAGUCAUAUUUGUAACUUUGUCACAAUCGACUACAUUGAUGAAGAACUAUUACGACAGAAACUGUGUGGCUUAAAUGCUGACACAAGAAGGUGCCUACAAGAAAUUUUCAUCCGAAACUGGGUUCCACAGGAGAUAUUGCUUGUGUGAGAUAUAGAGAAUACUA